UGGGGAAUUUUGGACAAUGGGCGCAAGCCUGAUCCAGCCAUGCCGCGUGUGGGAAGAAGGCCUUCGGGUUGUAAACCACUUUUGUCAGGGAAGAAACGGCUCUUACUAAUAUUAGGCGCUAAUGACGGUACCUGAAGAAUAAGCACCGGCUAACUACGUGCCAGCAGCCGCGGUAAUACGUAGGGUGCAAGCGUUAAUCGGAAUUACUGGGCGUAAAGCGUGCGCAGGCGGUUAUGCAAGACAGAGGUGAAAUCCCCGGGCUCAACCUGGGAACUGCCUUUGUGACUGCAUAGCUAGAGUACGGUAGGGGGGGAUGGAAUUCCGCGUGUAGCAGUGAAAUGCGUAGAUAUGCGGAAGAACACCGAUGGCGAAGGCAAUCCCCUGGACCUGUACUGACGCUCAUGCACGAAAGCGUGGGGAGCAAACA
Molecule: ribosomal RNA, 427 nt
Filed under: uncultured bacterium
Lineage: Bacteria
Description: bacterial SSU rRNA
Rfam family: Bacterial small subunit ribosomal RNA
Source: RNAcentral